Long non-coding RNA from Capsicum annuum, 1763 nucleotides. RefSeq lists it as uncharacterized. NCBI's taxonomy places the organism in Eukaryota, Viridiplantae, Streptophyta, Magnoliopsida, Solanales, Solanaceae. The record is from RefSeq and is a predicted model, not a curated record. The transcript has 2 exons.
ACUUUUUUCCCUUUCUCUUUCUUUCUUUCAUCCUUUAUAUAAAUCCUAAUAACUAUUACACUCCAUCAUUAUCACUUUUGAAACUCCAUUAUAAUUUCGAUUAAAGCUCAGAAGUUAUUUCUUGUUUUUAAAUAAUGGACUUAUCAAAUCCACCAUCUUUAGUAAAUAAUGAUCCCAUUGAUUCCUCCUUCAAAUCACUCAUUAUUAUUGUUCAUUUCGAUGUGACCACAACUCGACAAAUUUCUUCCUUAUUUCCCUUCAACAUGUAAUGAGUUUCGCUCCAUGGUUGACUUCGUUGCCGAAGACCCCUCUUGUAACUCGUAAUUAUUACUCCUCUAAUUCAGUUCAAAAGGUCACUUCUCUUCAGAUACUUCCUAUUGAGGAUGAAACCACUCCUACUCCUAGUCCAAAAAUGAGUUCGCUCUCAUUUAGUGAAGAAAUCUGGGGCUCUGGUUUUUAUUUCUAAAAAUGAACCUUUUUUGAAACAUCACCUCAUCCUGCUCCAAUUCAAACUCCUCACACUAGAAAUUGAAAAAGGAAAAAGAAAGCUUCUCUUGAGGAAGCUCUUCAAGCGAGUAAAAGGAAAAACUGUCCUCUUCUAUUCCUUCUACUCCAUGAAUUCCUCCCUCUGAUUUUGAUUUUCUUGUUUGAUUUAUUCAUUGAGAUGUCUAAACCACCUUCUCUAAAAUCUAAGUCAUCAAAAUAGGUCAUUCAACUUGGUCCAUCUUCUGACUCAGAAGCAACUAAGGAUGAUGCCCCUCUUCCUGCUGACAUUGAUAUCUCUGAGCCAUUUAAUCCCAAUUUGCAAUAUAUCUUGCACUUUUAAAAGAAGUUUUUUAUUCGUGGGUGAGUUGUUACUAGUUUUGGUGGUCCUGAAAUGGCUACUCUCUUGAGAAAAUUAAGUUUCAGGGUUGGUUUUCCUUAUUUUUUCAAGGUGACAUUCAACGGAAGUUUGGAAGGCCUAAUGUCUAUGAGUUUUAUACUAACGAAUUUGCAAAUGGAGACCUCUUCACCACUUUUAUGUGAGGAGUGUCUUUUCGUCUUGCUACUGAAGACAUUGCUCGAAUCCUUGCUUUUCUUCUGUGGGCUGGGAUCACUAUGUUAAAUUUGAGUGUCCAUACUUAGAUAACAUGGCAUCUGCAGUGGCUAUCACUAGGAAAUUCUCUGGUAAUCCUAAUCUCUUUUAGCAUCAUUAUUUUUUUAAGCGAGAAAUGCCCCCUCUACACCAACUUUACUUUGACAUGGUCCAUAAGAUGAUCACACCUCAAAAGGAAAGACACAUUAAAGCAAAUUACCUGGACCUCACUCUUAUGGAGCUGCUUGAUACUGAAGUCAACAUCAACUUGCCCAGUCUCAUUCUUAAGCAAAUGCAAAGGGUUCUCAUUAAGGAUCACCAAAAGUGAGACAAGCUGGCAUUCUUAUACAAAGGUUGCGCAAUGAAUUGGUUGAUACUUUGGCUGAGUUGGAGGAAGAUCAUGCCACUCAUGCUCAAUAUAAUGAGGCUCUUUAAGCUAUAAUCCUCACACUCGAGGCAGACCUUUCCAAAGAAAGGGCUAAUAAUAGGGAUGUUAUUCGCAAGUUAACACAGUUGAGUGUGCCUGUUCCACCCACCUCAUUUUGUUUAUCCUCUUAGUUCCCUAGGAUCUUGUUCUUAUAAGUUGUUUUUUACAAAAGUGCCUAGGUUGUUCAUUUUGCUGUAGUUAUCUUAUUCUCUUGUAGGUCAUAUUUUGUUGAAUCAAUGAUAUCUCUCUCUCUUUGUUUUA